RNAcentral lists this ribosomal RNA (253 nucleotides) under uncultured bacterium. RNAcentral describes it as "partial 16S ribosomal RNA". It matches the Rfam family "Bacterial small subunit ribosomal RNA", at positions 524 to 776 of the family's 1533-position model. The record is from RNAcentral.
UACGCAGGACCCGAGCGUUAUCCGGAUUUAUUGGGUUUAAAGGGUGCGUAGGCGGAUUAAUAAGUCAGUGGUGAAAGCCCAUCGCUUAACGAUGGAAUUGCCAUUGAUACUGUUAGUCUUGAGUAUGGUUGAGGUGGGCGGAAUGUGUCAUGUAGCGGUGAAAUGCUUAGAUAUGACACAGAACACCAAUUGCGAAGGCAGCUCGCUAAACCAUAACUGACGCUGAGGCACGAAAGCGUGGGGAGCAAACAGG